Long non-coding RNA from Anolis carolinensis (green anole), 3986 nucleotides. RefSeq lists it as uncharacterized. The transcript has 4 exons. The record is from RefSeq and is a predicted model, not a curated record. Lineage: Eukaryota; Metazoa; Chordata; Lepidosauria; Squamata; Anolidae.
UAGUAGUAGUAGUAAUUAGAAUUAUUAUUAUAAUAAUAGUAAUAGUAAUGAAUCAUGCAAAUUUGCAAGAAUAUCUUUUUUUUCUUCCCCUUCUGCCCAUACAAUCUGGAUUGCAAGGGUUUCUCUCACACUCUCCUUUCGCUUUUGAAAACAUUCCCUUCUUCUCUGUCUCUCUCUCAAAAAAAAUAUAAGAUAGCCAGCCUGGGAGGAGAAGCAGAUGAGGGAGGUUUUGGAAAAGAAAACAUACUGUGGCCUCCAGGCUCCGCUGCUGGCUUGACCUGAAUAUAAGCCGGGGGAGGCUUUUCCAGCUCAUAAAUACGGGCUGAAAAACUCGGUUUAUCUUCAAGUAUAUACGGUAUUUGGUAUAUACUAGGCUAUAGGUAAGUACAUUAGGCUUUAUAAACUACCGGUAUAUGGUAUAUACGUGUAUAAAGGAAACGAGCGGAGAGGAGAGGCUACUUCAUCAGGAAGGGGGGAAUCUUUUUAUCAAAUAUCCCACCGCUGCAACCAAUAUAAAGGAAUCAGCAAAGCGGGGAGGCUAAUUAUAACAGAUUUUCUUUAAAAAUGGUAGCUGCCACCAACCUAAAAUGUUUUUAGGCUUUUUGUUGUCAAAUGUGUCUGAGGCAAACUUCUCCCAUUUCCUGCCCCCAUGGUUUCUGCCCAUGACUCCCAAACUGAUGUUCACUAUGAGGCUUUUCUGUGAUAUUUUAUUGUUGUAUUGCUGGAACUUUUAUAAAGUCUUCUUGAUGGAAAAUAUACACUGUGGAGGCUCUUGAAAGUUGAAAAUAGAAUAAAAAUUUAAAUGGUUACAGACGUUUUUCAGCUUAACUUAGUUGUAUGUUUCAGGUUACUUCACUUAGUUUCAAACUGUUCCAACCAACCAAUCUAUCUAUUAGUCACAAAAAACUCUUGCUCUAUUUGCUGAGAAUAGGCACGAGUUCCCCUGGGUUGUUAAUUAACUCUAACCUAGAGUCCUUCUAUUAACCAGCCCAGUAGUGAGAAACAAUCCUUUGAGUUAUCUUCCCCUCAAGAGAUUCAAACUGCCUCACCUAGCCUGUCAGUUUCCACAGCUUUCAGUUCUCUCUCACACACACUCCCAACUCCAAAACCGAACUGCUCUCUUCAAACACCAAAACAGAACUCCCUUCUUCAAACCCUCCAAACAGAACUGCCUGGAACUUUUUUUCCCCUCUGCACUCUAAGACUUGGCUCCUCCCAUCUGCUCUGGUUGGCCAAUCCUAGGAGUCUCUAAGCUCCUCCCCCUUUCUAACCACACUCAAAAUGGCUGCCUGGCAUUCCUCAACAAAAUGGAUGCCUGCCUCACUCACUGUUACCAAGACUUCAUUCCCGGCCUAAUAGGCCUCCUAGAGUUCUGGAUCACAAGUGAUUUCAACCCUGGGCUUUUGUCCCCCCACCCUUCUUCCUUCUCAGCCCUGGAGAAAGCAGGCCAGAAGAAAAAGCAGGGGACAAAUGCAGUAUUGAAUUUGAGAAAACCAGGUAUUGGAUUACACUUCUCACGCUUCCCACAUACCACCAGAGCAUGGAUGACCUGACAACUCUACAGAGGACUCGGAUCUUUGGGGAGGGAGUUCCAGACCCUGAAAGCACCUAUUAAGAAGGUUGUCUCCCAUGUUUCUGCUAAAUGUUGCUGCGAGAAUUAUGGGACAGAGAGAGAAGAUCUAAAAACAACAACAGGUCCAUGUGAAUAUCUUCUCCAUAGAUGGAAAACCUGGCUAUCCUGCCCAGCACUAUUCAACAAGUGAGAUGCAAUUAGGAACCAGCAUUAGCAAUCUAUUGGCAAUCCUUUCAUGGCAAGAUUAAGAAGUAUUGUUUUAUUGAAGCAUUUAAAUCUGCAUAACCUUUCAGUCUGUCCUUUAAAAUCCAUCGGUGACCAAUCACAAAACAAGCCACAAUAAACGCAGAUGAGAGAAAGUGCAUACUUGAAAAAGAGACAUCUUUCACCACUUGAAGUAGUCACUCUAUUUCUACCUUCACAACCACACAGCUUUGUUGAUGGACAAAUGUAUCUGUUUUAUUUUCCAUGUACGUUUUGUGAACUUUGGUACAUUUUCAUCAAUAAUGAUCAGAAAUGAUUUUUUCACCCAUCCCUAGCUGUGAGGAUAAAGUGGGAGAGAAUGAGAGCCAUGCAUGCCAUCUUGAGUUCACUGGAAGAAAAGCAAUAUAUAAAUAUGGAAAUGAAUAAAGCUGGCAAGCCUCCUGGCUUUCAAAGAACGACAUAGAGUAUAAUAGAGAAUGAGUCUAUCUGCCAAGCUGAUACUGCUACUGGUGGUUUCUGACUAUGACACUACAUUAUAGAGCAGGAUGUUUCUAAUAAUUUCAGAUAUUAGCAAUCAUUAGAGAAGAAAGGCUAUAGGAUUGCAAAAUAGCAUGUAAAAACCAAAAUGAAUGAUAGCAGAAAAGUGAGAGACAUUCACUCUUUAUGACAUCCAACCUACAGUAAGUCAUUUUACAGCAUGGGUGGUAACUCCUAGCAUUCUUCAUCACUAGCAAAGGGAGCCGUGGUGGUCCAAUGGGUUGAACCCUUGUGCCAGCUGAACUGCUGAUCUGAAGACCUAAAGGUCAGCGGUUCAAAUCCAUGAGACAGAGUGAGCUCUUGUCUGCCAGCCCCAGCUUCCCAUGUGGGGACAUGAGAGACGGCUCCUACAGGAUGGUAAUACAUCCAGGUGUCCCCUGGACAAUGCCUCUGUAGACUCUCUCACACCAGAAGCAACUUGCAGUAUAUUCUUAAUUCGCUUUUGACACAAUAAAAAAUCACUAGCAAAGCUGGCUGAGAUUAAUGGGAGAUGUAGUUCAGCUUCUGUGUUACAUGUUAGUCUGGCAUACAUUUCUUACAUGUUUUGUUUGUAGUCUGUUUAUUGAAAGACAUUCAUAUUUUUUCACUGCGCUAUGCAAUAGUACAAUAAUGGCGUUUCUAUUACAUUUAUCAUCUAUAUUGUCUGCAGAGCAUUUUCAAUUUAAUUGAUUAAAACAUUAAUUCAGUAUCAAGUAUUACAAAUAAUUUAUUUGUAGCCUAUCAUGUUCUGCUGAGCACAUCUUCUGUAUCCAAAACACCAUUAAAACCUCUGCCAGUCUUGCUACUUUAUCUUUUGCAAGCCAAAUGUAGAAAUCUGUGAAUGCCUUGACAAUGUAAUUCAUGAAAAUUUUACAGAUAGGUAUUCAUCAGCUUUAUCAUUUUGUUUGGAACCGAUCUUUCACUUGUAGGGUUGUCAGGUGGAUAUGACUCUCUAUCUCUUGUUUUGUAUUGUCUGUCAUGCCAGUCAGAAAUUAGAACAUGCUUUUUUUUAAAGUAAUAAGAUGCCAUUUGUUUUUACUUGUACUCAUAAUUCAUAUGUUGUUAUGGUUAAUUAUAAUUUGCAAAUAAUAUACUUAAAAAUAGAAAAUGGCCCCUAAUAACCCAAUGUUGUUCAUAAUGAUCACCCUGAAGAAGCAUAUAAGAAAUUAAAAGUAGGAAUUGUUCUUUAUUAUCAUAUGUCAUAAAAUUGACUACAACUUAUAGGGACCCUACAAAUGAGAGAUCUCCAAGAGCACUAGUUAUUAACAGCCCUUGUCAUGCUCCAUGAAGACCCUCAAUGUUUACCCCUAGUUAAUCUCUUUUUAGUUGGAGGGAUUCAUAUUAUAUGUACAGUUUCUGGGGUCAGUCUAGACAGCCUCUUUGCAUUUGAAGACUCCGUCACCCUGCCCCUUUAAGAAUCUUCUCAGGGUGGAGCCUCAGACAAGGCACCUCUGGUUCUUGGAAGAGUCAGCCUUUUUUGUGACUGAAAGGUGAAGAGAGAGGAAAGCUGGAAGGUCUACAAAUAGUAAUUCCAGUUGGAGCUGUAUUCAAGUUCAGUUGGAAUUAUUUUUGGGACCAUCUUAGAAACAGUAGAACACCAUACAAGAAAGAGACAAUAAGAAGUAAAGAUUCAAGAGCCUCAGUUCGGCCAGAGCUGUUUCUGCCUCUCAAAGACUUUAUAUCUCCUCAUAAA